GACGGAGGGGGCAAGCGUUGCUCGGAAUCACUGGGCGUAAAGGGCGCGUAGGCGGGAUGGCAAGUCGGUCGUGAAAUCCCUGGGCUCAACUCAGGGGGGUCGGCCGAUACUGCCGUUCUUGGGGGAUGCAGAGGAGACUGGAAUUCCCGGUGUAGCGGUGAAAUGUGUAGAGAUCGGGAGGAACACCGGUGGCGAAGGCGGGUCUCUGGGCAUUCCCUGACGCUGAGGCGCGAAAGCGUGGGGAGCAAACGGG
RNAcentral lists this ribosomal RNA (253 nucleotides) under uncultured bacterium. Its description in RNAcentral is "partial 16S ribosomal RNA". It matches the Rfam family "Bacterial small subunit ribosomal RNA", at positions 524 to 776 of the family's 1533-position model. The record is from RNAcentral.